Molecule: ribosomal RNA, 348 nt
Filed under: uncultured bacterium
Lineage: Bacteria
Description: bacterial SSU rRNA
Rfam family: Bacterial small subunit ribosomal RNA
Source: RNAcentral
AAUUUUCCGCAAUGGGCGAAAGCCUGACGGAGCAAUACCGCGUGAGGGAGGAAGGCUCUUGGGUCGUAAACCUCUUUUCUCUGGGAAGAUAAUCUGACGGUACCAGAGGAAUAAGCAUCGGCUAACUCCGUGCCAGCAGCCGCGGUAAUACGGAGGAUGCAAGCGUUAUCCGGAAUGAUUGGGCGUAAAGAGUCCGUAGGUGGUUGUGAAAGUCUGUGGUUAAAGCGCGAAGCUCAACUUCGUAANGGCCAUGGAAACUAUGCNACUAGAGUGAGAUAGGGGUAGAGGGAAUUCUUGGUGUAGCGGUGAAAUGCGUAGAUAUCAAGAAGAACACCGGUGGCGAAAGCG